CAAAGGAGACUGCCAGUGAUAAACUGGAGGAAGGUGGGGAUGACGUCAAGUCAUCAUGGCCCUUACGACCAGGGCUACACACGUGCUACAAUGGCGCAUACAAAGAGAAGCGACCUCGCGAGAGCAAGCGGACCUCAUAAAGUGCGUCGUAGUCCGGAUUGGAGUCUGCAACUCGACUCCAUGAAGUCGGAAUCGCUAGUAAUCGUGGAUCAGAAUGCCACGGUGAAUACGUUCCCGGGCCUUGUACACACCGCCCGUCACACCAUGGGAGUGGGUUGCAAAAGAAGUAGGUAGCUUAACCUUCGGGAGGGCGCUUACCACUUUGUGAUUCAUGACUGGGGUGAAGUCGUAACAAGGUAACCGUAGGGGAACCUGC
Molecule: ribosomal RNA, 376 nt
Filed under: Salmonella enterica subsp. enterica serovar Infantis
Lineage: Bacteria; Pseudomonadati; Pseudomonadota; Gammaproteobacteria; Enterobacterales; Enterobacteriaceae
Also listed under: 4 other names
Description: bacterial SSU rRNA
Rfam family: Bacterial small subunit ribosomal RNA
Source: RNAcentral